This is a long non-coding RNA of Triticum aestivum (bread wheat), 478 nucleotides long. RefSeq lists it as uncharacterized. The transcript is spliced from 3 exons. Lineage: Eukaryota; Viridiplantae; Streptophyta; Magnoliopsida; Poales; Poaceae. The record is from RefSeq and is a predicted model, not a curated record.
UCGCUUUCCUCUACUCGCCGCUGCGCUUCGUGCCCCUGUACGUCGUGCUCGCAGUCGCCGCCUAUCGCCAGAUCGCCCCAGUUUGCCCAAUCAGUGAACAACGAAAGAAUAUGUAUCUUGGAUCAGACCCCAAUUCGUGGUCAGUGGAGAACAAUAUUGCAAUACUCUAGUAGACAAGGACGUCUGGAAGCACCAGCAACAUGUCAAGCAAUCAAGAUCUAGCGCUGCAUUUUCUCGUCAUCGGUUAUACUUUAUUCAUAAUUUGGACACUUUGAUUCAUCUUUACUGUUCAAUUUCCUACGAUCAACUAAUAUUCAUAAGGUGAACUCUUUAUUUUGGAAUUUUGGUAAUCAUAUUCACGGUCGUAUCGUAUUCAAAGUAUAUUGUAUUGCUAAGUGUGCUAAUUUUAUGUGUAUUAUGACUUGAUAUCCACGCAUAUGUGAUAGACAUGGGACCCCGGGUCAUUUUUGUCCUGGGU